This 465-nucleotide ribosomal RNA is filed under the name uncultured bacterium. RNAcentral describes it as "partial 16S ribosomal RNA". It matches the Rfam family "Bacterial small subunit ribosomal RNA", at positions 28 to 507 of the family's 1533-position model. The record is from RNAcentral.
GACGAACGCUGGCGGCGUGCUUAACACAUGCAAGUCGAACGGAAAGGCCCUGCUUGCAGGGUACUCGAGUGGCGAACGGGUGAGUAACACGUGGGUGAUCUGCCCUGCACUUCGGGAUAAGCCUGGGAAACUGGGUCUAAUACCGGAUAGGAGCCAUUUUUAGUGUGAUUGUUGGAAAGUUUUUUCGGUGUAGGAUGAGCUCGCGGCCUAUCAGCUUGUUGGUGGGGUAAUGGCCUACCAAGGCGGCGACGGGUAGCCGGCCUGAGAGGGUGGACGGCCACAGUGGGACUGAGAUACGGCCCAGACUCCUACGGGAGGGAGCAGUGGGGAAUAUUGAACAAGGGGCGCAAGCCUGAUGCAGCGACGCCGCGUGGGGGAUGACGGCCUUCGGGUUGUAAUCUCCUUUCGCUAGGGACGAAGCUUUUUGUGACGGUACCUAGAUAAGAAGCACCGGCUAACUACGUG